CUCUUGCUUCAGUGAAUAAGAGGUCACGCCUGCCCUGUGACUAUAUGUUUAACGGCCGCGGUAUUUUGACCGUGCAAAGGUAGCGCAAUCACUUGUCCUUUAAAUGUGGACCUGUAUGAAUGGCAUAACGAGGGCUUAGCUGUCUCCUUUCUCAAGUCAAUGAACUUGAUCUCCCCGUGCAGAAGCGGGGAUAAAACCAUAAGACGAGAAGACCCUAUGGAGCUUUAGACAAAAAACAGCCCCUGUCAAUAAACCCUAAAUAAAGGGAAUAAACCUAGUGAACCUGUUUUAAUGUCUUUGGUUGGGGCGACCGCGGGGUAACAAAAAACCCCCAUGUGGAAUGAAAACACCCUUUUUAAACCCAAGAGUCACCACUCUAGGAUACAGAACAUCUGACCAAUAAUGAUCCGGCUAAAGCCGAUUAACGAACCGAGUUACCCUAGGGAUAACAGCGCAAUCCUCUUUUAGAGUCCAUAUCGACAAGAGGGUUUACGACCUCGAUGUUGGAUCAGGACAUCCUAAUGGUGCAGCCGCUAUUAAAGGUUCGUUUGUUCAACGAUUAAAGUC
Molecule: ribosomal RNA, 567 nt
Filed under: Takifugu pseudommus (nameradamashi)
Lineage: Eukaryota; Metazoa; Chordata; Actinopteri; Tetraodontiformes; Tetraodontidae
Description: partial 16S ribosomal RNA
Rfam family: Bacterial large subunit ribosomal RNA
Source: RNAcentral